AUUGAACGCUGGCGGCAGGCCUAACACAUGCAAGUCGAGCGGAUGAAGGGAGCUUGCUCCUGGAUUCAGCGGCGGACGGGUGAGUAAUGCCUAGGAAUCUGCCUGGUAGUGGGGGAUAACGUCCGGAAACGGGCGCUAAUACCGCAUACGUCCUGAGGGAGAAAGUUGGGGUUCUUCGUACCUCUCGCUAUCAUAUGAGCCUAGGUCGGAUUAGCUAGUUGGUGGGGUAAAGGCCUACCAAGGCGACGAUCCGUAACUGGUCUGAGAGGAUGAUCAGUCACACUGGAACUGAGACACGGUCAAGACUCCUACGGGAGGAAGCAGUGGGGAAUAUUGGACAAUGGGCGAAAGCCUGAUCGAGCAAUGCCGAGUGUGUGAAGAAGGUCUUCGGAUUGGAAAGCACUUUAAGUUGGGAGGAAGGGAAGUAAGUUAAUACCUUGCUGUUUUGACGGUAACAACAGAAUAAGCACCGGCUAACUUCGUG
This 484-nucleotide ribosomal RNA is filed under the name uncultured bacterium. RNAcentral's name for it is "partial 16S ribosomal RNA". It matches the Rfam family "Bacterial small subunit ribosomal RNA", at positions 30 to 507 of the family's 1533-position model. The record is from RNAcentral.